CAGUAGCCGCGGUAAUACAGAGGGUGCGAGCGUUAAUCGGAUUUACUGGGCGUAAAGCGUGCGUAGGCGGCUUCUUAAGUCGGAUGUAAAAUCCCUGAGCUUAACUUAGGAAUUGCAUUCGAUACUGGGAAGCUAGAGUAUGGGAGAGGAUGGUAGAAUUCCAGGUGUAGCGGUGAAAUGCGUAGAGAUCUGGAGGAAUACCGAUGGCGAAGGCAGCCAUCUGGCCUAAUACUGACGCUGAGGUACGAAAGCAUGGGGAGCAAACAGGAUUAGAUACCCCCGUAGUCCCUGUCUCUUAUAC
RNAcentral lists this ribosomal RNA (301 nucleotides) under uncultured bacterium. Its description in RNAcentral is "partial 16S ribosomal RNA". It matches the Rfam family "Bacterial small subunit ribosomal RNA", at positions 509 to 807 of the family's 1533-position model. The record is from RNAcentral.